GAUGAAGAACGUAGCGAAAUGCGAUAAGUAAUGCGAAUUGCAGAAUUUCCGUGAGUCAUCGAAUCUUUGAACGCACAUUGCGCCCCCUGGUAUUCCGGGGGGCAUGCCUGUCCGAGCGUCAUUACAACCCUCAAGCUCAGCUUGGUAUUGGGCCCCGCCGACCCGGCGGGCCCUAAAGUCAGUGGCGGUGCCGUCCGGCUCCGAGCGUAGUAAUUCUUCUCGCUCUGGAGGUCCGGUCGUGUGCUCGCCAGCAACCCCCAAUUUUUUUCAGGUUGACCUCGGAUCAGGUAGGGAUACCCGCUGAACUUAAGCAUAUCAAUAAGCGGAGGA
RNAcentral lists this unclassified non-coding RNA (330 nucleotides) under soil metagenome. RNAcentral's name for it is "partial contains 5.8S ribosomal RNA, internal transcribed spacer 2, and large subunit ribosomal RNA". The stretch from base 1 to 121 matches the Rfam family "5.8S ribosomal RNA", at positions 35 to 154 of the family's 154-position model. The record is from RNAcentral.